GUGAAGUUAAAGUGUGAGCCACAUUGUCCGCAUUGCAUUUAGCACGCACAACAUCUAUAGCUUGAAAAGAAGCUGCUAGGAGCUUAACAUUCUUAAAAAUGGAGCGAAGACUUUAAAACCCGUUAUUAUCAAAAAGGUGCCACAGUAAUCCAAUUUUUUAACCUAAAGUAUAUGCUACAUAAAGAUAAAAUUGCUUAAAUGAAUGUCGGUAGUUGUAGUGGUUAAAAAUGACCGUUUGAAUCAUAAACAAAUAAUGUAGUAUUGACUCUUGAGUUGAGACAUUCGACCUUUAAUCCACCAAAACUCAAGAAGAUUUUUCAAUAGGGAGAAUACCUAUACUUACAAAUAAAAUUGGCCCAAGAAUGAGAGUGAAAAUAUUCAAAAGUUUCAAAGAAUUCAUACCAAUUUGACUUGAACCCGCGGAAGUGAAGUUGAUCAAUGUUUGAGGCUUUGAGCAGAAUAGCACCAGAAUAGCAUUUCCCUGCGUUCUGUGGUCAGGUGAAGUGACCGUGUAGUCGUUUUGUUUCCGGCGACGAUGGCGACCCUUCCCAUCGUCCAAUACGAAGAAAAAAUCCUCGAAACCGUUGAGGCGAACCCCGUCGUCGUCGUCAUCGGAGAAACCGGUUCCGGCAAGAGCACCCAGCUCUCUCAGAUGCUACUCCGCCGCGGUUUCUCCAAAAUCGCCGUCACUCAACCCCGUCGAGUCGCCGCCGUCACUGUCGCCAGACGAGUUGCGCAAGAGCUUGAUGUUCGCCUCGGUGAGGAAGUAGGUUACGCCAUUCGAUUUGAGGAUAGAACUUCUCCCACCACGCGCAUAAAGUACCUCACUGAUGGGGUUCUUCUUCGCGAAAGCCUAGCUAAUCCGGAGCUUAAUGAGUAUGAUGUGAUCAUAUUAGACGAAGCUCAUGAACGGAGUUUGAACACGGAUAUUUUGAUGGGCCUUAUGAAGCGCUUGGUUAAACUUCGAUCUUCCAAUCUCAAAGUUUUGAUCACGUCGGCGACUCUUGAUGGUGAUAAGGUAUCAAAGUUCUUUGCAGAUUGUCCUGUGUUGAGCAUCCCGGGGAAAUUGUAUCCGGUUGAAAUUCUUUAUAGCAAGGAGCGUCCCCCAAACUAUCUCGAGUCUUGUCUGAAAACAGCUCUUGAUAUACAUACUCGCGAACCAGAAGGGGAUAUUUUAAUAUUUAUGACUGGACAGGAUGACAUAGAGAAGUUGGUAUCUAAGUUGGAAGAUAAAGUUCGGGCUCUCGAGGAAGGUUCCUGCAUGGAUGCUAUAAUCUUCCCCCUACACGGUUCGUUGCCGCCUGAAUUGCAGGUGCGUGUUUUUAGUCCUCCACCUCCAAAUUGCAGACGAAUUAUUGUUGCAACAAAUAUUGCUGAAACUUCUCUGACUGUUGAUGGUGUAGUAUAUGUUAUUGACUCGGGGUAUGUAAAGCAAAGGCAGUACAAUCCAUCCAGUGGGAUGUAUUCUCUUGAUGUUGUUCAAAUUAGCAAAGUGCAAGCUAAUCAGCGCGCAGGCCGAGCUGGACGAACACGACCAGGGAAAUGCUACCGUCUAUAUCCUUCCCGACUUUUCCAAGAUGAGUUUUUGGAUGUUACAGUACCUGAAAUUCAGAGAUCUUCUCUCGCCGGCAGUGUGCUUUACUUGAAGUCAUUGGACCUCCCUGAUAUUGACAUUCUCAAAUUUGACUUUCUUGAUCCUCCUUCAUCUGAGUCCUUACAAGAUGCCUUGAAGCAAUUAUAUCUGAUUGAUGCUAUUGAUGAAAAUGGUGCAAUUACAAGUAUUGGACGAAAAAUGGCUGAGCUUCCAUUAGAACCAUCCCUAUCAAGAACUUUAAUAGAGGCAAACAAUUAUGGUUGCAUAACUGAGGCUUUGACUGUUGCUGCCAUGUUAUCAGCUGAAACUGCAUUGCUACCAGGGCAGAGGCAGAGCAAGAUUGAGAAAAAGAGGAAACAUCCAAUGCCUAACCUUCCUGAUGGUUCUGGCUUGGGUGAUCACAUUCAAUUGCUGCAGAUAUACGAGUGUUGGGAUCGAAAUGAUUAUGACAUUGGUUGGUGCAAAGACAAUGGCUUGCAGGUGCGGGGGAUGUUGUUUGUCAGAGAUGUCCGUAAGCAGUUAUCUCAGAUAAUGCAGAAAAUAGCAAAGGGACCACUGGAUAUAAGGGCACAUGGGAAUGGGGAUGAGUUCCGGCGGGAUUAUCGAAAUUUGAGGAAGGCUUUAUGUGUGGGCUAUGCAAAUCAGCUGGCUGAAAGAAAGAUGCAUCAUAAUGGUUAUCGAACUCUAAAUUUCCAAGCUCAAGUAGUUCAGGUGCAUCCAUCAUCUGUAUUGACUGCUGAUGAUCUGGGGAAGUUCCCAGACUAUGUUGUCUACCAUGAGCUAGUUGCUACCCCAAAACCGUUUAUGAGAAACGUCUGUAGUGUUGACAUGAGGUGGACAACAACUGUUAUGAACAAGCUUAAGACCCUAGAUGUGUACAAAUUAAGUGGUGGUAUUAAUCAUGCUGAGGAGGAAUCUGAGAGGAGUCUACCAGAUUUGCCCAAGAAAGAUGUCCAGGUUGCUGGUGCUGUCAAUGACUCUGAAAGUAGAAUCCAAGCUGCUCGAGAGCGAUUUCUUGCGCGAAAAGCCAAUAAAUGAGCACAGUUAAAUGAGUGGAGUUGGUGAUUGAGUUGUUGAGUGUAUAUGUACUAUAUGCUUAUGGUUUUGGUGUUGGUUCAGCCUCUGAUGAUCAAUUAAAUGAUUGGGACUAAUCCCCUCAAGACUAUGCUGAUCGCCUUCUAACAAUGACCUAUUCUUCCCUUUGGUGUCCGUUUUGAUCGCUGAUUGGUGAUCACUAUUGCAGGGUGGCACCCAAACUUUGGUCAUGUCUCUUUGUAUGGUGAUGCUCGCCGGUUGGGCAAGACGUGUAGUUUAAUCCUGCCUGUGUGAUAGUGUUGUGCAGUCAGUUCGAUUGCGCCUUUUGUACUUAAGUAUUUAAAUAGAUAUGCCCCCUAUUGUUUGCUUCAGGCUAUUUCUUUUUCCAUUGUUGUCUUCAAGGUUGAAGGUGUGUCUCAAAGUCAAAAGUAAUUCCCAGGUGUUUUCCGUAA
Molecule: RNA transcript, 3081 nt
Organism: Lotus japonicus
Lineage: Eukaryota; Viridiplantae; Streptophyta; Magnoliopsida; Fabales; Fabaceae
Gene name: probable pre-mRNA-splicing factor ATP-dependent RNA helicase DEAH4
Exons: 18
Source: RefSeq, a predicted model, not a curated record